RNAcentral lists this RNase P RNA (383 nucleotides) under Tropicimonas isoalkanivorans. Its description in RNAcentral is "Bacterial RNase P class A". It matches the Rfam family "Bacterial RNase P class A". From Rfam's summary of the family: Ribonuclease P (RNase P) is a ubiquitous endoribonuclease, found in archaea, bacteria and eukarya as well as chloroplasts and mitochondria. Its best characterised activity is the generation of mature 5'-ends of tRNAs by cleaving the 5'-leader elements of precursor-tRNAs. Lineage: Bacteria; Pseudomonadati; Pseudomonadota; Alphaproteobacteria; Rhodobacterales; Roseobacteraceae. The record is from Rfam by way of RNAcentral.
GCGGAUGGCCGGAUGGCCGCGGCCCCGGCGCAAGCGGGGGGCGAGGAAAGUCCGGACUCCCUGAAGCAACGGUGCCGGGUAACGCCCGGGCGGGGAAACCCGACGGAAAGCGCCACAGAGAACAGACGGCCCUGCUACGGCGGGGUCACGGUGAAACGGUGGGGUAAGAGCCCACCGCGGGGCUGGCAACAGUUCCGGCACGGCAAGCCCCACCGGGAGCAAUGCCACAUAGGACCUCCGCGGGGCACGUCCCCAGGGCCGCUUCAGCCCCAGGCAGGUCGGGUAGGCAGCUAGAGCGCGUCGGCAACGGCGGGCCUAGAUGAAUGGUCAUCCAGGGGGCUUCGGCCCCCGGACAGAAUCCGGCUUACAGGCCGUCCGCGCAA